RNAcentral lists this ribosomal RNA (465 nucleotides) under uncultured bacterium. RNAcentral describes it as "partial 16S ribosomal RNA". It matches the Rfam family "Bacterial small subunit ribosomal RNA", at positions 28 to 507 of the family's 1533-position model. The record is from RNAcentral.
GACGAACGCUGGCGGCGUGCUUAACACAUGCAAGUCGAACGGAAAGGCCCUGCUUGCAGGGUACUCGAGUGGCGAACGGGUGAGUAACACGUGGGUGAUCUGCCCUGCACUUCGGGAUAAGCUUGGGAAACUGGGUCUAAUACCGGAUAGGACCGCACUUUAGUGUGUGUGGUGGAAAGUUUUUUCGGUGUAGGAUGAGCUCGCGGCCUAUCAGCUUGUUGGUGGGGUAAUGGCCUACCAAGGCGGCGACGGGUAGCCGGCCUGAGAGGGUGUACGGCCACAUUGGGGCUGAGAUACGGCCCAGACUCCUACGGGAGGCAGCAGUGGGGAAUAUUGCACAAUGGGCGCAAGCCUGAUGCAGCGACGCCGCGUGGGGGAUGAAGGCCUUCGGGUUGUAAACUCCUUUCGCUAGGGACGAAGCUUUUUGUGACGGUACCUAGAGAAGAAGCACCGGCUAACUACGUG